This is a regulatory RNA element of 99 nucleotides. It matches the Rfam family "THF (Tetrahydrofolate) riboswitch aptamer". From Rfam's summary of the family: THF riboswitch presents a pseudoknot that joins P1-P2 and the loop of P3 and two THF binding. The record is from Rfam.
UGAAGAGUAAGGAUACGAGCGUUAAGUAUUGGCCGGACGGGGAGUUGCUGGCUGAGCGAAAAGCCCAGGCUUGCGGUUCGUAUUCUGCAUCCUGCUUCA